This 465-nucleotide ribosomal RNA is filed under the name uncultured bacterium. Its description in RNAcentral is "partial 16S ribosomal RNA". It matches the Rfam family "Bacterial small subunit ribosomal RNA", at positions 338 to 795 of the family's 1533-position model. The record is from RNAcentral.
CCUACGGGGGGCUGCAGUGGGGAAUUUUGGACAAUGGGCGCAAGCCUGAUCCAGCUAUUCCGCGUGUGGGAAGACGGCCUUCGGGUUGUAAACCACUUUUGUAGAGAACGAAAAGUCUAUUGAUGAUACCGAUAGAUGAUGACGGUACUCUAAGAAUAAGCACCGGCUAACUACGUGCCAGCAGCCGCGGUAAUACGUAGGGUGCGAGCGUUAAUCGGAAUUACUGGGCGUAAAGGGUGUGCAGGCGGUUUUGCAAGAUGGAUGUGAAAGCCCCGGGCUUAACCUGGGAAAGCCAUACAUGACUGCAAGACUAGAGUGCGUCAGAGGGGGGUGGAAUUCCAAGUGUAGCAGUGAAAUGCGUAGAUAUUUGGAAGAACACCGAUGGCGAAGGCAGCCCCCUGGGACGCAACUGACGCUCAUACACGAAAGCGUGGGGAGCAAACAGGAUUAGAUACCCGAGUAGUC